GGCAGAUGGAGAGGUUGAAUCCGUAAAAAACAACAAACAAACGAACAGCUGCCAAAAAAGAAGACCCCAGACUGACUCAGGGGCUUCCUUGCUGGCUCAGCUGGUGAAGAAUCCGCCUGCAGGGCAGGAGACUCCAGUUUGAUUCCUGGGUCGGGAAGACCCACUGGAGAAGGAAUAGGCUACCCACCCCAGUAUUCUUGGGCUUCCCUGGUGGCUCAGAUGGUCAAGAAUCUGCCAGCAAUGCAGGAGACCUGGGUUCGAUCACUGGGUUGGUAAGGUUCCCUGGAGAAGGGAAAGGCUACCCACUCCAGUGUUCUGGCCUGGAGAAUUCCAUGGACAGAGGAGCCUGGCGGGCUACAGUCUAUAGGGUAGGAAAGAGUCAGACACGACAGAGCUACUAACACUUCACUUUUCAGACUGACUCACCCCAAAUUCUACCAAACCUUUGGAGAAGAGUUCAUACCAGUUCUCCCCAAACUCUCCCCCAAAAUAAAAGACGAGCACCUCCCCACCCGUCGUGUGCAGCCACUAGGGCCCUGGUUCCCACGCCAGACGAGGACGCCGCUUUACACCUUGGCCGCCCUCCUCCUGCUUCUGGCUCUGUUCUGUAGGUUGUCUGAGUUCUCUCCGCUUGUUAAGGCCGUUUAAUUCUACAGGACUAUUCGAUUUCAAACACGAAAAUAUUCCACAGGCAAGUCUACUCUUUUCACUUUAUGUUCCAACACUUCCUCAUUUAUUUCAUACAAUUCUUUAAUUUUUAGCUCGUUAAUAAAAAGUGUCUCCUUUCUUUCUUUUGUAAUGGCAGUGGUGAGGUGGUUUAGUCGCUAAGUCGUGUCUGACUCUUUACAACCACAUGGAGUGCAGCCCGCCAGGCUCCACUGUCCAUGGGAUUCUCUAGGCAGGAACACUGGAGUAGGUUGCCAUUUCCUCUUCCAGGGGAUCUUCCCAGCCCAGGGAUGGAAUCUACACCCCCGACAUUGCAGGAGGAUUCUUCACCACUGAGCCGCCUGGGACGCCCCCAAGGACUCUGCCUCUGGAGAAAGGGCAUCCAUUCGGGGUGCUUGUGUCUGCCCUCCCUUCGCAGCUGUGAGCGUCUUGCUUGGUUGACACGAGCUGUGCGCCCUCCGGUUCCCACCACGGCAAGCCAUCCUUUCUCCCUUCGGAGGCAAGCGAAAAGGAGCAGAAUUCCGGCUUCACCAUCCCUGGUGACGAGCGGGCAGGGAGACUGUUCUCCUGAACCACGACCACCUCGUCACGGGUUGCCUCGCCCUCCCGUCACGGCUGGGCCAGCAGAGGCCAGGUGCCCCGAGUCCCCUCUCCUGGAUCCUCGGAGCGGGACGCUCCUCCAGGAAAGGACUUCCUCUCCCCACCGGCUGCGGGGACUGGGCGGCUGGCUGAUGGCUCGGCCCCCACUGACGGAGCUUUUCCAGUUUUGGAAAGUGGCGUGUGCCUCCUUGCCCAGGCAGACGGUAAUUUAUGCUGCGAAUUCAGGCCUGGGCGUGACGACUCAGUCCUUUCAGGCCCCUGAAAACCUGCUCCAGCCGCCAGCAGCACUGCCUCUGACCUGCCCUCGCCCACCGCCCUCGGCUCCCUGUCCCUGCCCGCCUCUCCCUCCAGGCCCCCACCUGCAGCCGCGCCAGCUGACGCCUGCCAGCACAGGGACGCGGUGACACCUUCUGCAGAGUUUUCGGCCAGAGCUGGACUCCUCUGAGCCCUUAACAAGCAGCCUGCUCUGUAACAAACCACAGGACAAAUAAUCGCUCCAGUGUGGCAGCCUGAGCUACUUAUUUUGCUUGAUUUAUGGGGAGUGAGACCCAAGGAUGCCGUGGGGCUUUUCAGACAUUGCUAAGUGUACGCUGACGCCCAGCGGGGUUGGGAAGGGGCUCAGUCUCCCAUACUCCAGCCGGGGCACAGGGCCUGGCAGCUGCAGGGAUGGAACGACGUGGGAAAGGGGGCAGGGAGGACCCCCCAG
Molecule: long non-coding RNA, 1972 nt
Organism: Bos taurus (domestic cattle)
Lineage: Eukaryota; Metazoa; Chordata; Mammalia; Artiodactyla; Bovidae
Source: Ensembl